Molecule: non-coding RNA, 208 nt
Organism: Paramuricea clavata
Lineage: Eukaryota; Metazoa; Cnidaria; Anthozoa; Malacalcyonacea; Plexauridae
Source: the annotation of a GenBank genome assembly
ACAUGAGGACCCGCACGACCAAAAAUAUGCAACUUUUGCGUCUUGAAGACGCAAAAGUCCGGAAAUCAAAUUACAUUAUCUCAUUAAAUUUAAUGGAAAAAACUGUUAUCAAUCAGUAAUUAGUUCACUAGUUCGCAAUGGGUGCUCUGUUUUAAGAUCUGUUAUUAACAAGUUAUUAGUUAAAAAUGCACACAUAGGGAGGGAAAUU